UGCUGUGUCGCGGCUGUCGCGAUGGGGCUGUCGGCGGCGCGGGGCUGGGCGCUGUCCCCGGGCCCGGCGGAGCGCAGCCGGCCCUACGCGGUGCUGCAGCACCAGAACCUGGUGCUGCUGGGCAGCAUCCUCAGCGCCCUCCUGCUCACCAUCAUCCUCAUGGCCAUCUGCGUGUACCGGCCCGUGCGGCGGCGGUAGCGGAGCGGGACCUGCCGGGGCAUCGAGGGAAUGCUGCAUCCCACCUGUUCUCCCGUCUGGUACCCGCCGCCCCACCCCUGCUCUGGUCCCGUCCGGUUCUCCCAUGUGGUACCCGCUGUCCCACCGCCGCCGGCGAUGCCCUGACCAUGCGGGGGUGGCUUUUCGCCCGUCUUGUCCCGCGCUGCAUCGUGUGGCUCCAUCGUGACGUUGCUUUCAGCGAGGGCCUGUCCAGGGGCUGGAAGUCACACCCCAGCCCUCAGCGAACGGACUCCUGGAGCUCCCGGCAGCGUGUUCGCAGCAAACCCGGCUGGCUGUGAGGAGGGUCUGGAGCAACGCCCCUUACUCCCAAAUUGCAGCGUUUGGGCGAGGAUGAUCCUGCAGGAUGUGCUCGGGAGCAUCCCCGGUGCAUGUGGAUCAGCACAAGAACGUCGUCCGAGGAGCAGGUCCACGCGCUCGGUCACACCACAGCCACGUUUGUUUUCCCAUUAUUUCAGUUCCUUAUUUGAACGCUGAGUCUCGGGGGUUGGACAGGGCUUGGAGCAACCUGGUCGAGUGGGAGGUGUCCCUGUCCGUGGCAGGGGGUUGGAACAGGAUGAGCUUUCUGGUCCCUUCCAACCCAAACCGAUCAAAAAUGGUCCAAAGGCAAAGGCUCAGUGACCCACCAGAGUGGUGGGGGGGUGGAGGGGGUCUGGCAUGUUCUUGCCUCUGAGCAGAAACACCCGAUCCUGGUGUAGCUGUUCAGGGCUAGGCUUGUCAUUCCCAACGUUAUUUGCUUUAACUCUUAGCUAAAUAGCCCCGAACAGCCUCAUACCAAACCAGCCCUGCUGAACCUGUUUGGAACUGGGGUGCAGGUGAGGGUUUCCAGCAUGUGCUGGUCACUGUCCUCCUGGAAACAGGAGCCUUCAAAGGUCUGCAAGCCAGGCAGAUGCUGGGACCUGCCAGGCUCAGGCUCUCUGAAAGUGUUUGAGCUCCAGCCAGACCCAUUUAUGCAUUUUCAGUAACAAAUCCAAGUGUUUACACUGAAUCCCACUCAUACGAAUGCUGCUAUUUUGUUUUGCACUGCUACGAGUAGUAACUGGAUUUUACUAAUUAUUACUUUAGUAUUUAACAUAGAGGUGGUUUUGUUAGUAAUUUAUUUAGUGUCUUAAAAUGUAACUUCCAAAACAUUUGUGUUGAGCUUUUCUCUAACCCCUUGUGCUGCAUCUGAGGUGUUUUCCCUUCAAUUUGAAGGACACCAACCACUGGCAUUGAACGGGGGGAAUUUCUUCGCUGCUGCUCAGUUGGUGAAAUGACAGUAGGAAGCUCCCUUAGAACAGAAUGAGUUCUUAAUCCAAAUGAAACAAGAGUGGGGAAGCAAGGCAGCACUGUUCUAUUGCUUUCUGCUCCUUUUUUUGCUCACUGAUUCUUGUAUCCUUGAUUUUUCUCGGUCCUUCAUCUGCUGUAAAGCCUGGCCUGCAGUCUGUGCUGCUCACGGGGGUGGAUGGUGAAGCUCCCAGCCACACUCCGUGUUCCCUGGAGCAGCAUUCCUGUUUGCUUUCAUUCUUCACUCCCUCCCAUGCCUCUUUGUACAAAUAAAGAGCUCAGUAAACAAUCUA
This is a long non-coding RNA of Neopelma chrysocephalum (saffron-crested tyrant-manakin), 1793 nucleotides long. RefSeq lists it as uncharacterized. The record is from RefSeq and is a predicted model, not a curated record. NCBI's taxonomy places the organism in Eukaryota, Metazoa, Chordata, Aves, Passeriformes, Pipridae. The transcript has 2 exons.